This 241-nucleotide ribosomal RNA is filed under the name uncultured bacterium. RNAcentral's name for it is "partial 16S ribosomal RNA". It matches the Rfam family "Bacterial small subunit ribosomal RNA", at positions 15 to 239 of the family's 1533-position model. The record is from RNAcentral.
AAUCCUGGCUCAGGAUGAACGCUGGCGGCGUGCUUAACACAUGCAAGUCGAACGGGAAAUAUUUCAUUGAGACUUCGGUGGAUUUGAUCUAUUUCUAGUGGCGGACGGGUGAGUAACGCGUGGGUAACCUGCCUUAUACAGGGGGAUAACAGUCAGAAAUGGCUGCUAAUACCGCAUAAACGCACAGAGCUGCAUGGCUCAGUGUGAAAAACUCCGGUGGUAUAAGAUGGACCCGCGUUGG